This 200-nucleotide ribosomal RNA is filed under the name uncultured bacterium. RNAcentral describes it as "partial 16S ribosomal RNA". It matches the Rfam family "Bacterial small subunit ribosomal RNA", at positions 30 to 228 of the family's 1533-position model. The record is from RNAcentral.
AUUGAACGCUGGCGGAAUGCUUUACACAUGCAAGUCGAACGAUGAACCUUAGCUUGCUAGGGGAAUGAGUGGCGAACGGGUGAGUAAUAUAUCGGAACGUGCCCAGUCGUGGGGGAUAACGUAGAGAAAUUUACGCUAAUACCGCAUACGAUCUAAGGAUGAAAGCGGGGGACUCGCAAGGGCCUCGCGCGAUUGGAGCG